GUUUGACAUUUUAAUUUUAAUUUCCCUAGUGACUAACGAUGAUCUUUUCAUGUACAUACUGACCACUCAUACACCUUCAUUGGUGAAGGGGCUGUUCAAGUUAUUUGUCAUUUUCUUAUUGGGUUAUUUUUCUUACUAUGCAGUUUUAAGAGUUCUUCAUGUAUUCUAGAUUCAUUUACUUUUUCUGAUGAUGGAACACACAGCAGUGUGUUCUGAAUAUUUUUCAGAGGAAAUUUUCAAGAAGGUAUUUGCUUGGAAACUACUCAAACACACUAAUCUACAAAUUCAAGAAGCCAGAUGUAUAGUAAAUAGAAAUCCUUACUCAGUAACAUUAUAAAGAAACUGUAGAGUAAUGGAUAGAGAAGAUCUCUUUGAAGAGGGUUUGUCCCAUGACUCAGCUUUUUUGUAUUCCUCUUCUCUAGUUUCUAUUUCAUUUAUCGUCUCCUCCAGCAUAUCCAAGCUGCUUUUAAAUCCCUCCAUUGUAUGUUUCAUUUCAGUUAUGGAAUUUCUUAAUGAUUGAAUCUCUGACUUAAAUUCAUUCCUGAGUUCUUGAAUAUUUUUCUGUACCUUCAUGAGCAGCAUGGUUAUGAUUUUAUUUUGAACUCUCUCUCAGGCAGAUUGGUGAGUUUAGGUUCAUUUGGUCCUUUUUCUGGGGUUUGUGAGAUUUUGGUCUGAACCAUGUUUUUUUGAUGUUUCAUAUUUAUGUGUGGUGCCCACUAGUGCCCAGAAGCUCCAGUCUCUGGAGCUGCUCAGCACCUAGAGUGAGAUUGGAGGACGUAGGGGAGCAGAGCUGGUGCCUGGGGGGAGGAAAGAUCUGUUUCCUGAUUCCCCUCUGCGGUGCCUGUCUCCAGUAUCAGAGCCAGUGGGCCGAGCACACAGGUGUAAGCCUCUGUGCUCUGCGUCUCUAGCUGUUGUAGGCGGGGUCUCCCUCUGGCUGGCCUGAUGGCAGCGCAGUGACAGCCGGUUUUUGAACCGGUUCCGGUAGGCCAGGAGGAAGGCCCAGCAGGCUGCGUGUCACAGUGGGGGGCCUCGGGGCUGAGCAGCCAGCCAGGAGUAUGGAGCCCUGAAGCUCCUCAAAGUUCCCAAUCUGCUGGGCAGAGUGCAUUCAGACAACCUUGUCCAGCUCUCCCCUCCCCCAGGCAGCAAGCUACAUGUAAACCCCGCCCCUUCAGCAGCCCUCUUGCUGCUCGGAAGCCUCUCAGACUGCCUGCCUUUCCUCUGUCACAGAGCGGCCGGAUGUGGAUCCCGUGCUCCAUGAACGGCCGGAAUGUCUGUCUCUCAAGCACUCCGUGUCUGCUGAGCUCCCCACCCUCCAGAGCACCACACAAGCAGAAGGAAACACAGAGGAAGAUCUUUGAAGUUGGAGAAAUGGGUUCAAAUCCUGGCUCAGCAACUUGUUUACUCCACGAUUGGGAGAAGACUUGAUAUCUCUGUCUCAGUUUCUUCCUCGACAAAGUGUCUUGUAUGUUUGUUGUAAAGACUGAAAGUAAAACUCGGGCAUCAUCAGUA
This is a long non-coding RNA of Manis pentadactyla (Chinese pangolin), 1509 nucleotides long. RefSeq lists it as uncharacterized. NCBI's taxonomy places the organism in Eukaryota, Metazoa, Chordata, Mammalia, Pholidota, Manidae. The transcript has 2 exons. The record is from RefSeq and is a predicted model, not a curated record.